RNAcentral lists this ribosomal RNA (409 nucleotides) under Bacillota bacterium. RNAcentral describes it as "Firmicutes bacterium partial 16S ribosomal RNA". It matches the Rfam family "Bacterial small subunit ribosomal RNA", at positions 355 to 776 of the family's 1533-position model. Lineage: Bacteria; Bacillati; Bacillota. The record is from RNAcentral.
UGGGGAAUAUUGCACAAUGGGCGAAAGCCUGAUGCAGCGACGCCGCGUGAGGGAUGACGGCCUUCGGGUUGUAAACCUCUUUCAGCAGGGACGAAGCGCAAGUGACGGUACCUGCAGAAGAAGCACCGGCUAACUACGUGCCAGCAGCCGCGGUAAUACGUAGGGUGCAAGCGUUGUCCGGAAUUACUGGGCGUAAAGAGUUCGUAGGCGGUUUGUCGCGUCGUUUGUGAAAACCAGCAGCUCAACUGCUGGCUUGCAGGCGAUACGGGCAGACUUGAGUACUGCAGGGGAGACUGGAAUUCCUGGUGUAACGGUGAAAUGCGCAGAUAUCAGGAGGAAAACCGGUGGCGAAGGCGGGUCUCUGGGCAGUAACUGACGCUGAGGAACGAAAGCGUGGGUAGCGAACAGG